Molecule: ribosomal RNA, 416 nt
Filed under: uncultured bacterium
Lineage: Bacteria
Description: bacterial SSU rRNA
Rfam family: Bacterial small subunit ribosomal RNA
Source: RNAcentral
UGAGGAAUAUUGGUCAAUGGGCGCAAGCCUGAACCAGCCAUCCCGCGUGCAGGAAGACGGCCCUAUGGGUUGUAAACUGCUUUUCCAGGGAGAGAAACUUGCGCACGUGUUGCGCAAUUGACGGUACCCUGGGAAUAAGCAUCGGCUAAUUCCGUGCCAGCAGCCGCGGUAAUACGGAGGAUGCGAGCGUUAUCCGGAUUCAUUGGGUUUAAAGGGUGCGUAGGCGGACUAUUAAGUCAGUGGUGAAAUCCUGCAGCUUAACUGCAGAACUGCCAUUGAUACUGAUAGCCUUGAGUUUGGUUAAGGUAGGCGGAAUGUGUAAUGUAGCGGUGAAAUGCUUAGAUAUUACACAGAACACCAAUUGCGUAGGCAGCUUACUGAGCCGACACUGACGCUGAGGCACGAAAGCGUGGGGA